This 528-nucleotide ribosomal RNA is filed under the name uncultured bacterium. RNAcentral describes it as "bacterial SSU rRNA". It matches the Rfam family "Bacterial small subunit ribosomal RNA", at positions 355 to 894 of the family's 1533-position model. The record is from RNAcentral.
UGGGGAAUAUUGCACAAUGGGCGGAAGCCUGAUGCAGCGACGCCGCGUGGGGGAUGAAGGCCUUCGGGUUGUAAACUCCUUUCGACAGGGACGAAGCGUAAGUGACGGUACCUGUAUAAGAAGCACCGGCUAACUACGUGCCAGCAGCCGCGGUAAUACGUAGGGUGCGAGCGUUGUCCGGAAUUACUGGGCGUAAAGAGCUCGUAGGUGGUUUGUCGCGUCGUCUGUGAAAUUCCGGGGCUUAACUCCGGGCGUGCAGGCGAUACGGGCUGACUUGAGUGCUGUAGGGGAGACUGGAAUUCCUGGUGUAGCGGUGAAAUGCGCAGAUAUCAGGAGGAACACCGAUGGCGAAGGCAGGUCUCUGGGCAGUAACUGACGCUGAGGAGCGAAAGCAUGGGUAGCGAACAGGAUUAGAUACCCUGGUAGUCCAUGCCGUAAACGGUGGGCGCUAGGUGUAGGGGGCUUCCACGUCUUCUGUGCCGUAGCUAACGCAUUAAGCGCCCCGCCUGGGGAGUACGGCCGCAAGCU